UCUCUUCUCUCAACUCCACCUUCGACAUCACCACCACCACCUCCGCGCCACCACCAUCUUCGUUGACACCGUUUCCAUAUCCAUCACCAUCAUAUCCAUCACCAUGAAAAACCAAUCAAACCAACCAGUUCCAGUACCACCUCCUCCUACACUAAUACUACCAAAUACACUAGCAGCACCACCACCACCUCCAAAACAAUCGAUUUUCUAUAGUUGAGCUAUAGUUAAAAUUAGGGUAUCAGAAUUUGAGUAUUUGGUUUCGCUGCUUCUUCUUCAGCGAGAUCUCUCUAUUCUCUUUCAUCCUCUCAACAUCACUACCACCACCUCUGCAACUACCACCACUUCGCCCGCACAACCACCUUCACUGCCGAGAAACAAAUUGAUUUUUGAGUUUAGUUUUGGUGAUUUUGUUCCUGCAAUGUGUUUGAUUGUUGGUUUAGAUUCAUUUCUUCAAGUAGCUUCUUGUUGAUUCUCGUAUUUUAGGGUUCAAUUCCGAGCAAAAUCUUUCUAGGUUUUUCCUUAUUUCUUAAAUUCUUGUUCUGUUGUAUGUAGGUUACAAAGAUUGCUUUGAUGUUUCUUGUAAUUUGAUUGUUCUAUUUGUUUUCUUUUGGUAGCAAAUCUUGCAAUAGAGAAGCUUAAUCACUCUCCAUUGAGAGGCCAAAUGAUACGGGUUAUGUGGUCACGUCGUGAUUCAGAUGCAAGGAAAAGUGGAAUUGCAAAUCUAUUUGUUAAGAAUCUGAGUGUUUCAAUUGAUAAUGCAAAGCUUCAUGAGAUGUUUUUCAAGUAUGAGAAUAUUUUGUCUUGUAAAGUUGCAAUGACUGAAGAAGGAAAGAGCAAAGGAUAUGGAUUUGUUCAGUAUGAAACUGAGGAAUCUGCGACGGCGGCUACUAACAGUGUUAAUGGAUCUACUGCUGAGGGCAAGCAAAUAUAUGUUGGUCCUUUCGUGAAAAAGAGUGAGUGACCCUCUAGAAACUCUGAUUCUAGCUUUACCAAUUUGCACGUAAAAAAUCUGGACUUGGAUGUUACCGAAGAGCUUAUUACAGAGAAGUUCUCCAAAUAUGGAAAAAUUACCCACUUGGUUAUCAUGAAAGACGGCAAUUAAAAAUCCAAAGGAUUUUGUUUUGUGAACUUUGAUAGUCCUGAUGAAGCGAAAAAGGCAAUGGAGGCCACUAAAGGGAUGUAAAUUGGGUCCAAGGUUUUGUAUGUCGGGAGGGCCCAAAAGAAAGCAGAGCGUGAAAAAAUAUUGCAUGAUCAGUUUGAACGCCGAAAGGAACUCCAGAAAAUUAAGGGUUCAAAUGUGUAUGUUAAGAACAUUGAUGAUAGUGUUAAUGAUGACGAGCUGAGCAGUAUAUUCAGUAAGUGUGGCACAAUCACCUCUGCAAUGAUAAUGCUUGAUGAAAAAGGAAUAACUAAGGGGUUUGGAUUUGUAUGCUUCACCAUUAUCGAAACAUCUUAUCAAGUAGUGAACGACCUACAUGGUAUACUACUAACCCCAUUACUUGGUUUAGACCUAUAGAUUUUUCUGAAUUGGUUUCUUUGUUAAGUUUAGAUGCGGGGAUAGUAGAUUCACUAUGUUUACUGGUUCUCAUUGAGAUUUUGUUUCAAUUGAUGUUAAGAAUGAAAAGAUUGAAUUUGUUGAUUGUAUAAAGUAUAAGCAUUUACUUUAGUGCUUA
Long non-coding RNA from Papaver somniferum (opium poppy), 1673 nucleotides. RefSeq lists it as uncharacterized. Lineage: Eukaryota; Viridiplantae; Streptophyta; Magnoliopsida; Ranunculales; Papaveraceae. The record is from RefSeq and is a predicted model, not a curated record. The transcript is spliced from 5 exons.